CCUCUCAUGGCGUAGUGGUAACGCGCCCCAACUAGAGAUCGGGGAGUCGUGAGUUCGAUUCUCACUGAGAAUG
This 73-nucleotide transfer RNA is filed under the name Aedes aegypti (yellow fever mosquito). It matches the Rfam family "tRNA". Rfam says of the family: Transfer RNA (tRNA) molecules are approximately 80 nucleotides in length. The record is from Rfam by way of RNAcentral. Lineage: Eukaryota; Metazoa; Arthropoda; Insecta; Diptera; Culicidae.